CCCUUGCUGGUCUAGUGGUCAGGAUUUCUGGUUUUCAUCCAGGCUACCCAGGUUCAAUUCUUGGGAAGGGAA
Molecule: transfer RNA, 72 nt
Filed under: Bos taurus (domestic cattle)
Lineage: Eukaryota; Metazoa; Chordata; Mammalia; Artiodactyla; Bovidae
Also listed under: 3 other names
Rfam family: tRNA
About the family: Transfer RNA (tRNA) molecules are approximately 80 nucleotides in length.
Source: Rfam by way of RNAcentral